UCAUUUAGAGGAAGGAGAAGUCGUAACAAGGUUUCCGUAGGAGAACCUGCGGAAUGAUCAUUGUCGAAACCUCUGCAAGAGCAUAACGACCCGCGAACUUGUGAUCACACUCGCGAGGGGCGUGCUUCACGGCCGCUCCCCCAUGUCUCCGCAGGUGUGGGACUCCUCCCAUUCCCCGCGGGGGCGCAUAACGAACCGUCUGCGCAGACUGCGCCAAGGAAAUCUAACGAGAGAGCACGUACUCGGGGCCCCGGACACGGUGCACUCCGGGACGCAGCACCUUCUUUCACUCUAUCUGAAACGACUCUCGGCAACGGAUAUCUCGGCUCUCACAUCGAUGAAGAACRUAGCGAAAUGCGAUACUUGGUGUGAAUUGCAUAAUCUCGUGAACCAUCGAGUCUUUGAACGCAAGUUGCGCCCCAAGCCUUUAGGCCGAGGGCACGUCUGCCUGGGUGUCACGUAUAGUUGCCCCACCCCACCCCCGCCCGGGGGCUUGGUGGCGAGGGCGGAUAAUGGCCUACCGUGCGCUCCYCGCUCGUGGUUAGCCCAAAUCUGAGUCCACGGCGAUCGGAGCCRCGACGAUCGGUGGUGAAAACAUGCCUCUCGAGCUCACGUCGCGUGCCCGGCUCUCCGUUCCGAGACUCAGGGACCCCGACGCUCCGCRCGAGCGUCUCUCGCAUCGCGACCCCAGGUCAGGUGGGAUUACCCGCUGAGUUUAAGCAUA
This 724-nucleotide unclassified non-coding RNA is filed under the name Zanthoxylum avicennae. RNAcentral describes it as "partial contains small subunit ribosomal RNA, internal transcribed spacer 1, 5.8S ribosomal RNA, internal transcribed spacer 2, and large subunit ribosomal RNA". Lineage: Eukaryota; Viridiplantae; Streptophyta; Magnoliopsida; Sapindales; Rutaceae. The record is from RNAcentral.